AUACGUAGGGGGCGAGCGUUGUCCGGAAUGAUUGGGCGUAAAGGGCGCGUAGGCGGCCCGGUAAGUCUGGAGUGAAAGUCCUGUUUUUAAGAUGGGAAUUGCUUUGGAUACUGUCGGGCUUGAGUGCAGGAGAGGUAAGUGGAAUUCCCAGUGUAGCGGUGAAAUGCGUAGAGAUUGGGAGGAACACCAGUGGCGAAGGCGACUUACUGGACUGUAACUGACGCUGAGGCGCGAAAGUGUGGGGAGCAAACAGGAUUAGAUACCCUGGUAGUCCACACUGUAAACGAUGAAUGUUAGGUGUAGGGGGUAUCGACCCCUUCUGUGCCGCAGUCAACACAAUAAGCAUUCCGCCUGGGGAGUACGGCCGCAAGGUUGAAACUCAAAGGAAUUGACGGGG
Molecule: ribosomal RNA, 397 nt
Filed under: uncultured bacterium
Lineage: Bacteria
Description: partial 16S ribosomal RNA
Rfam family: Bacterial small subunit ribosomal RNA
Source: RNAcentral